RNAcentral lists this ribosomal RNA (475 nucleotides) under uncultured organism. RNAcentral's name for it is "partial 16S ribosomal RNA". It matches the Rfam family "Bacterial small subunit ribosomal RNA", at positions 333 to 800 of the family's 1533-position model. The record is from RNAcentral.
ACACUCCUACGGGAGGCAGCAGUGGGGAAUUUUGGACAAUGGGCGAAAGCCUGAUCCAGCAAUGCCGCGUGAGUGAAGAAGGCCUUCGGGUUGUAAAGCUCUUUUGUCAGGGAAGAAACGGUGAGAGCUAAUAUCUCUUGCUAAUGACGGUACCUGAAGAAUAAGCACCGGCUAACUACGUGCCAGCAGCCGCGGUAAUACGUAGGGUGCAAGCGUUAAUCGGAAUUACUGGGCGUAAAGCGUGCGCAGGCGGUUUUGUAAGUCUGAUGUGAAAUCCCCGGCUCAACCUGGGAAUUGCAUUGGAGACUGCAAGGCUAGAAUCUGGCAGAGGGGGGUAGAAUUCCACGUGUAGCAGUGAAAUGCGUAGAUAUGUGGAGGAACACCGAUGGCGAAGGCAGCCCCCUGGGUCAAGAUUGACGCUCAUGCACGAAAGCGUGGGGAGCAAACAGGAUUAGAUACCCCAGUAGUCCCAUGA